This 503-nucleotide ribosomal RNA is filed under the name uncultured delta proteobacterium. RNAcentral's name for it is "bacterial SSU rRNA". It matches the Rfam family "Bacterial small subunit ribosomal RNA", at positions 39 to 523 of the family's 1533-position model. Lineage: Bacteria; Deltaproteobacteria. The record is from RNAcentral.
GCGGCGCGCCUAACACAUGCAAGUCGAGCGAGAAAGGGAGCAAUCCCCGGUACAGCGGCGCACGGGUGAGUAACACGUAGGUAACCAACUCCGAGUGGUGGAUAACCUUCCGAAAGGAGGGCUAAUACAGCAUGAGCCCACGGCUGCGAGAGCAGCAGGGGGAAAAGUCGGCCAAUCCACGGAAGCUGACGCUUGGAGACGGGCCUGCGGCCCAUCAGCUAGUUGGUGAGGUAAUGGCUCACCAAGGCAAAGACGGGUAGCUGGUCUGAGAGGAUGAUCAGCCACACUGGAACUGAGACACGGUCCAGACUCCUACGGGAGGCAGCAGUGGGGAAUCUUGCGCAAUGGGCGAAAGCCUGACGCAGCGACGCCGCGUGGGUGAUGAAGGCCUUCGGGUUGUAAAGCCCUGUGGAGGGGGACGAAUAAGUGUUGGCUAAUAUCCAGCAUGAUGACGGUACCCCUUUAGCAAGCACCGGCUAACUCUGUGCCAGCAGCCGCGGUAA